Molecule: ribosomal RNA, 752 nt
Filed under: uncultured bacterium
Lineage: Bacteria
Description: bacterial SSU rRNA
Rfam family: Bacterial small subunit ribosomal RNA
Source: RNAcentral
CGAGGCCCUUUGUAUUCGUACGAAGGUGUCCUAGUGGCGAACGGGUGAGUAACACGUAGGUGACCUGCCCCGAAGAGGGGAACAACCCCGGGAAACUGGGGCUAAUACCCCAUAACCUCCUUGGAGUUAGAGGACCUUGGAGAAAAGGAGCAAUCCGCUUUGGGAGGGGCCUGCGGCCCAUCAGCUAGUUGGUAGGGUAACGGCCUACCAAGGCGAUGACGGGUAGGGGACCUGAGAGGGUGGUCCCCCACCAUGGUACUGAAACACGGACCAUACGACUACGGUCGGCAGCAGUAGGGAAUAUUGCACAAUGGGCGAAAGCCUGAUGCAGCAACGCCGCGUGCGCGAUGAAGGCCUUCGGGUUGUAAAGCGCUUUUCUGGGGGAAGAGAGAGGACGGUACCCCAGGAAUAAGUCUCGGCUAACUACGUGCCAGCAGCCGCGGUAAAACGUAGGAGGCAAGCGUUAUCCGGAUUUACUGGGCGUAAAGCGCGUGUAGGCGGUUAGUAAGUCGGACGUGAAAGUUCCCGGCUCAACUGGGAGAGGCCGUUCGAGACUGCUAGACUAGAGGGCAGUAGAGGGAGGUGGAAUUCUGGGUGUAGCGGUGAAAUGCGUAGAUAUCCAGAGGAACACCAGUGGCGAAGGCGGCCUCCUGGACUGUCCCUGACGCUCAGACGCGAAAGCUAGGGUAGCAAACGGGAUUAGAAACCCCGGUAGUCCUAGCCGUAAACGAUGCAGACUUGGUGUUGGUGGU